Molecule: ribosomal RNA, 460 nt
Filed under: uncultured bacterium
Lineage: Bacteria
Description: partial 16S ribosomal RNA
Rfam family: Bacterial small subunit ribosomal RNA
Source: RNAcentral
CCUACGGGUGGCUGCAGUGAGGAAUAUUGGUCAAUGGACGCAAGUCUGAACCAGCCAUGCCGCGUGCAGGAAGACGGCUCUAUGAGUUGUAAACUGCUUUUGUACGAGGGUAAACGCAGAUACGCGUAUCUGUCUGAAAGUAUCGUACGAAUAAGGAUCGGCUAACUCCGUGCCAGCAGCCGCGGUAAUACGGAGGAUUCAAGCGUUAUCCGGAUUUAUUGGGUUUAAAGGGUGCGUAGGCGGUCGGAUAAGUUAGAGGUGAAAGCCCGAGGCUCAACUUCGGAAUUGCCUUUGAGACUGGUCGGCUUGAGAGUAGUUGAGGUAGGCGGAAUGUGUGGUGUAGCGGUGAAAUGCUUAGAGAUCAUACAGAACCCCGAUUGCGAAGGCAGCUUACCAAGCUACUACUGACGUUGAGGCACGAAAGCGUGGGUAGCAAACAGGAUUAGAUACCCGAGUAGUC